Molecule: long non-coding RNA, 788 nt
Filed under: Lepisosteus oculatus (spotted gar)
Lineage: Eukaryota; Metazoa; Chordata; Actinopteri; Semionotiformes; Lepisosteidae
Description: lncRNA (ENSLOCG00000022346.1)
Source: RNAcentral
GUCCGGGUUCGAGAGCAGUGUGAGAGAGACGCCGCGCGAGAGAGACGCUCACUGAGGGAGGAGCACAGCCAGCGAGAGGCGGAGCUCAAGGAGCAGAUCGGAGAGCUGCAGGUGAAGGUGCAGAGGGUCACCAGGGAGAAGAUGCUCUAUGAAAAGGAAUUUAAGGAAGUCCAGGUGAAUUACCGCCGGUUUGUGGACCUCACCGACUCCAGCCUGCACUCCGACUACCUGCUGCGGCUGCGGCGCCUGGGCCGAGAGCCAGGAUUGGCCGAGACGGGGGUCCAGACCGAUGAUGUCGUGGGCGUGGCCCCGCCCCCUGAGUUAACCCCUCCCCCUCGGGGGAAGAGCUUGAGGACAGACUUCGACACGAUUAAUCGCCUCUUACCCGUCGCCUACUUUUAAAUCACCAAAGAUGCUGAAGGCUGCGGUUCACUGGAGAGUUACGCCUGUCGGUUCACUUCGAUCACAACAUGAACUGCAGCUUGGCUAUAAGGAAUACAAUCUUUCUGUGUCUCCAUUGUUGAGAAAAAAACAAUCCUUUUAUACAUGAGAAGAUUAUCAUUUUUCAGAAAUCUAGCCAAGGUUCGUACCCCAUUACAUGUAUUGUGUUUGCUCUACUGUUUUCAUUGUGUAAUGUGCCUUGACAGUGCUCUGUACUGAAAGGCACUAUAGAAGAAUAAAGCUCAUUGACUAUUGAUUAACUGUUCCCAUGGCCUCAGCAGUCUCAGCUCUCACCUCAAGUGACAGGAUUCUCCCCAGGUGUCCGCAGGCAGAACCGCUUACCCGGG